RNAcentral lists this ribosomal RNA (301 nucleotides) under uncultured bacterium. RNAcentral describes it as "partial 16S ribosomal RNA". It matches the Rfam family "Bacterial small subunit ribosomal RNA", at positions 509 to 809 of the family's 1533-position model. The record is from RNAcentral.
CAGCAGCCACGGUAAUACGAAGGGGGCUAGCGUUGUUCGGAUUUACCGGGCGUAAAGGGCGCGUAGGCGGACUGAUAAGUCAGGGGUGAAAUCCCAAGGCUCAACCUUGGAACUGCCUUUGAUACUGUUUGUCUUGAGUUCGAGAGAGGUAAGUGGAACUGCGAGUGUAGAGGUGAAAUUCGUAGAUAUUCGCAAGAACACCAGUGGCGAAGGCGGCUUACUGGCUCGAAACUGACGCUGAGGCGCGAAAGCGUGGGGAGCAAACAGGAUUAGAUACCCGCGUAGUCCCUGUCUCUUAUAA